This is a non-coding RNA of Acanthosepion pharaonis, 114 nucleotides long. The record is from the annotation of a GenBank genome assembly. Lineage: Eukaryota; Metazoa; Mollusca; Cephalopoda; Sepiida; Sepiidae.
UUACGGCCAAAUCACGUUGAAACAUCGAUUCACGUACAAUCACCGAAGUUAAGCAACGUCGAGCCUGUUUAGUAUCUAGAUGGUUGAUCGCUUGGAAAUACUAGAUGCUGUAAG